UAAGGAAUAUUGGUCAAUGGACGCAAGUCUGAACCAGCCAUGCCGCGUGAAGGAUGAAGGUCCUCUGGAUUGUAAACUUCUUUUAUCUGGGACGAAAACGGGAUUUUUAUCUCAAUUGACGGUACCAGAGGAAUAAGCACCGGCUAACUCCGUGCAAGCAGCCGCGGUAAUACGGAGGGUGCGAGCGUUAUCCGGAUUUACUGGGUUUAAAGGGUGCGUAGGUGGGCUUAUAAGUCAGUGGUGAAAUCUCCGAGCUUAACUUGGAAACUGCCGUUGAUACUAUAGGUCUUGAAUUAUCUGGAGGUAAGCGGAAUAUGUCAUGUAGCGGUGAAAUGCUUAGAUAUGACAUAGAACACCAAUUGCGAAGGCAGCUUACUACAUAUAAAUUGACGCUGAGGCACGAAAGCGUGGGGAUCAAACA
This 421-nucleotide ribosomal RNA is filed under the name uncultured bacterium. RNAcentral's name for it is "bacterial SSU rRNA". It matches the Rfam family "Bacterial small subunit ribosomal RNA", at positions 355 to 774 of the family's 1533-position model. The record is from RNAcentral.